This 497-nucleotide ribosomal RNA is filed under the name uncultured bacterium. RNAcentral describes it as "partial 16S ribosomal RNA". It matches the Rfam family "Bacterial small subunit ribosomal RNA", at positions 28 to 507 of the family's 1533-position model. The record is from RNAcentral.
GAUGAACGCUGGCGGCGUGCCUAAUACAUGCAAGUCGAGCGAACAGACGAGGAGCUUGCUCCUCUGACGUUAGCGGCGGACGGGUGAGUAACACGUGGAUAACCUACCUAUAAGACUGGGAUAACUUCGGGAAACCGGGGCUAAUACCGGAUAAUAUAUUGAACCGCAUGGUUCAAUAGUGAAAGACGGUUUUGCUGUCACUUAUAGAUGGAUCCGUGCCGCAUUAGCUAGUUGGUAAGGUAACGGCUUACCAAGGCAACGAUGCGUAGCCGACCUGAGAGGGUGAUCGGCCACACUGGAACUGAGACACGGUCCAGACUCCUACGGGAGGCAGCAGUAGGGAAUCUUCCGCAAUGGGCGAAAGCCUGACGGAGCAACGCCGCGUGAGUGAUGAAGGUCUUCGGAUCGUAAAACUCUGUUAUUAGGGAAGAACAAAUGUGUAAGUAACUAUGCACGUCUUGACGGUACCUAAUCAGAAAGCCACGGCUAACUACGUG